RNAcentral lists this ribosomal RNA (425 nucleotides) under uncultured bacterium. RNAcentral describes it as "partial 16S ribosomal RNA". It matches the Rfam family "Bacterial small subunit ribosomal RNA", at positions 354 to 796 of the family's 1533-position model. The record is from RNAcentral.
GUGGGGAAUCUUGCGCAAUGGGCGAAAGCCUGACGCAGCCAUGCCGCGUGAAUGAUGAAGGUCUUAGGAUUGUAAAAUUCUUUCACCGGGGACGAUAAUGACGGUACCCGGAGAAGAAGCCCCGGCUAACUUCGUGCCAGCAGCCGCGGUAAUACGAAGGGGGCUAGCGUUGCUCGGAAUUACUGGGCGUAAAGGGCGCGUAGGCGGACAGUUUAGUCAGAGGUGAAAGCCCAGGGCUCAACCUUGGAAUUGCCUUUGAUACUGGCUGUCUUGAGUACGGGAGAGGUGAGUGGAACUCCGAGUGUAGAGGUGACAUUCGUAGAUAUUCGGAAGAACACCAGUGGCGAAGGCGACUCACUGGCCCGUUACUGACGCUGAGGCGCGAAAGCGUGGGGAGCAAACAGGAUUAGAAACCCUGGUAGUCC